This is a small nuclear RNA of Rana temporaria (common frog), 118 nucleotides long. RefSeq annotates it as U5 spliceosomal RNA. The transcript has a single exon. The record is from RefSeq and is a predicted model, not a curated record. NCBI's taxonomy places the organism in Eukaryota, Metazoa, Chordata, Amphibia, Anura, Ranidae.
AAACUCUGGUAUCUCUUUAGAAUGAAUACAUUUUUUGCCUUUUACUAAAGAUUUUUGUAAAGAGGACUAACUGGGCCUCCUUGGUAAAAAAAUAGCUUGAGUUCCUUUGAUUUGGAAA